Molecule: ribosomal RNA, 1513 nt
Filed under: marine metagenome
Description: bacterial LSU rRNA
Rfam family: Bacterial large subunit ribosomal RNA
Source: RNAcentral
CCUGCUCGAAUAUAGGGGGACCACCCUCUAAGCCUAAAUACUCUUCAGUGACCGAUAGUGAACUAGUACCGUGAGGGAAAGGUGAAAAGAACCCCUAUUAGGGGAGUGAAAUAGAACCUGAAACCGCAUGCCUACAAUCAGUCGAAGCUCUUUUUAGAGUGACGGCGUACCUUUUGUAUAAUGGGUCAGUGACUUAAUUUAUUAAGCAAGCUUAAGCCAUCUAGGUGUAGGCGCAGCGAAAGCAAGUCUUAAUAGGGCGAUCAGUUUAAUGAAUUAGACCCGAAAACGAAUGAGCUUACCAUGAGCAGGUUGAAAGUAAGGUAACACUUACCGGAGGACCGAACCAGUUGACGUUGAAAAGUCUUUGGAUGACUUGUGGUAAGGGGUGAAAGGCCAACCAAAUUCGUAGAUAGCUGGUUUUCCGCGAAAACUAUUUAGGUAGUGCGUUGAAUAAAUAGACGUUUAGAGGUAGAGCACUAAAUGGGCUAGGGGGAAGAGAUUCUUACCAAACCUAAUAAAACUCCGAAUGCUAAACGUUGUUCUUCAGCAGACAGACUGUGGGUGCUAAGGUCCAUGGUCGAGAGGGAAAGAGCCCAGACCACCAGAUAAGGUCCCCAAAUUAUGAUUAAGUGUGAAAGGAUGUGGAAAUUCCUUAACAGCCGGGAGGUUGGCUUAGAAGCAGCCAUCCUUUAAAGAUAGCGUAACAGCUCACCGGUCUAAUAGAGUUUCUGCGCCGAAGAUGUAACGGGGCUAAAAUCAUAUACCGAAUCUGUGGAUUUGUAAUUUUUUCGAAAAUUACAACUGGUAGCGGAACGUUCUGUAAGCCUGCGAAGGGAUACCUGUGAAGGAUCCUGGAGGUAUCAGAAGUGCGAAUGCUGACAUAAGUAACGAUAAAAGAAGUGAAAAACUUCUUCGCCGAAAAUCCAAGGGUUUCUGCGCAAGGUUAAUCCGCGCAGAGUUAGUCGGCACCUAAGGCGAGGGCGAAAGCCGUAGUCGAUGGAAAUAAGGUUAAUAUUCCUUAACCAGAUGGUAGUGACGGAUCUUGUAAGUUGUAAGCUCUUAAUGGAUUGAGCUUGCUGCGAAAAGGUUCCAAGAAAUAGCUCCAUCAUUAGACCGUACCCUAAACCGACACAGGUGGAUUAAUAGAGUAUAUUUAGGCGCUUGAGAGAAUGAUGUUGAAGGAACUCGGCAAAAUACUUCCGUAACUUCGGGAUAAGGAAGACCUUUUUUUAGGCAACUAUUAGAAGGUGGCACAAGCCAGGGAGAAGCGACUGUUUAUCAAAAACACAGGGCUCUGCUAACACGUAAGUGGAUGUAUAGGGUCUGACGCCUGCCCGGUGCUGGAAGGUUAAUGCGGUUGGUGCAAGCUAACUUCUGAAGCCCCAGUAAACGGCGGCCGUAACUAUAACGGUCCUAAGGUAGCGAAAUUCCUUGUCGGGUAAGUUCCGACCUGCAUGAAUGGCGUAACGAUUUCUCCGCUGUCUCCAACAUCAACUCAGUGAAAUUGAAUUCU